This 68-nucleotide transfer RNA is filed under the name Venustaconcha ellipsiformis. RNAcentral's name for it is "tRNA-Ser". The record is from RNAcentral. Lineage: Eukaryota; Metazoa; Mollusca; Bivalvia; Unionida; Unionidae.
AAGAAGACCGAGGAAAAAAUUCUGCUUUGAAAACAGAGAACAGGACGUUCAACUCGUCCAUCUUCUUC